This 3733-nucleotide small RNA is filed under the name Pongo abelii (Sumatran orangutan). RNAcentral's name for it is "retained intron". Lineage: Eukaryota; Metazoa; Chordata; Mammalia; Primates; Hominidae. The record is from RNAcentral.
GGGCCUCGGUGGCGAGGUGGUCGUUCUGGCAAAGGCGCACACUGACUUUGACGUCCAGGCCUUCCGGGUCACCUUUUUUGAUGAAACCAGGUGAUGCAGCCGCCCAUCCACGAUGUUGGGAGAGGGUCUGGGCCCGGAGUGGGGGCUGAGGCCUGAGCACCUCCCCUGGCUUGGUUGUGUGUCGCUGCGUCUCCUGGCGGGUCAGGGCACUGCGGGCUGUGGCGGUGCUCAGUCCUCAUUCCUUGCAGGAUGGCGUCGUGUGGGCAGGGCAGCGUGCGGCUCUGGCGGCUGCGUGGCGGGGCGCUGCGUUCCUGCCCUGUGGACUUAGGGGAGCACCACACACUGCAGUUCACCGACCUCGCCUUCAAGCAGGCCCAGGACGGCUGCCUGGAGCCGUUGGCUGCCAUGCUCUUCGUGUGCAGCCGCAGCGGCCACAUCUUGGAGAUUGACUGUCAGCGCAUGGUCGUGCGGCAUGCCCGCCGCCUGCUCCCCACACGGACUCCGGGCGGCCCCCACCCGCAGAAGCAGACCUUCAGCUCAGGUAAGAGGGCGCCCGCCACGUGGCGAGGGUGGCAGGGACACCGAGGCACUGACGCCUCCCCGCCCCCAGGCCCCGGCAUUGCCAUCAGCAGCCUCAGCAUCUCCCCGGCCAUGUGUGCUGUGGGCUCUGAGGACGGCUUCCUGCGGCUCUGGCCCCUGGACUUCUCCUCGGUGCUCCUGGAGGCAGAGCACGAGGGCCCCGUCAGCUCAGUCUGUGUCAGCCCCGAUGGCCUCCGUGUGCUGUCUGCCACCUCCUCGGGCCACCUGGGCUUCCUGGACACGCUGUCCCGGGUGUACCACAUGCUGGCUCGCUCCCACACCGCCCCGGUGCUGGCCCUCGCCAUGGAGCAGAGGCGGGGACAGCUAGCCACCGUGUCCCAGGACCGCACCGUCCGCAUCUGGGACCUGGCCACCCUGCAGCAGCUAUACGACUUCACAUCAUCAGAGGAGGCCCCGUGCGCUGUCACCUUCCACCCCACAAGGCCAACCUUUUUCUGCGGCUUUAGUAGUGGGGCCGUGCGCUCCUUCAGCUUGGAGGCCGCUGAGGUCCCGGUGGAACACACGUGCCACCGAGGAGCCAUCACCGGCCUGACCGCCACCCCUGACGGCCGCCUGCUCUUCAGCUCCUGCUCUGAGGGCUCCCUGGCCCAGUACAGCUGUGCGGACCCCCACUGGCAUGUCCUCCGAGUGGCAGCGGACAUGGUAUGCCCAGAUGCCCCCGCGAGCCCCAGCGCUCUGGCAGUCAGCAGGGAUGGCCACUUGCUGGCCUUCGUGGGACCCUCCAGGUGCACAGUGACAGUCACGGACUCGGCCUCCCUUGAUGAGCUGCUGCGAGUUGACAUCGGCACUCUGGACCUGGCCAGCAGCCGCCUGGACUCAGCCAUGGCUGUGUGCUUUGGCCCUGCAGCUCUGGGCCACCUGCUGGUGUCCACCUCGUCCAACAGAGUCGUGGUGCUGGAUGCUGUGUCGGGCCGCAUCAUCCGGGAGCUGCCCGGUGUCCACCCUGAGCCCUGUCCCUCCUUGACGCUCAGUGAGGACGCCCGCUUCCUGCUGAUUGCCGCCGGCCGGACCAUCAAGGUGUGGGACUACACGACACAGGCCAGCCCAGGCCCCCAGGUGUACAUCGGCCACUCGGAACCCGUGCAGGCUGUGGCUUUCUCUCCUGACCAGCAGCAGGUCCUCAGCGCAGGGGACGCCGUCUUCCUCUGGGAUGUCCUGGCCACUACUGAGAGGCAAGUGCCUACUCUCAGCUUUGUCUGCCUAGGCCCCCCAGGCCCUCCUGAAACCCUCUCUCCUCCCUCUCCAGCAACCAAAGCUUCCCCGUGGCCCCCCAAGCCUGUGAGGCAGGCUCGGGCAUAGGACCACUGGAGGACGCAUCGUCCAGGGCCAGCGAGCUCCCCCAGCAGCAGGUCCCCAAGCCAUCUCAGGCAUCUCUACCACGGCUGGGCAUCUGUGCCAGGCCUCCCGAAGGUGGCGAUGGUGUCAGGGACACCAGGAAUUCGGGGGCCCCACGCACCACCUGCCUGGCUUCCUACAAGGCCUUCACGCCUGCCAGGGUCAGCUGCAGCCCCCACUCUGCCAAGGGCACUUGCCUGCCUCCCGCCAGCGGUGGGUGGCUGCGUCUGAAGGCUGUCGUUGGCUACAGUGGGAAUGGGCGGGCCAACAUGGUCUGGAGGCCGGACACAGGCUUCUUUGCCUACACCUGCGGCCGCCUGGUGGUGGUGGAGGACCUGCACUCUGGCGCCCAGCAGCACUGGUCCGGCCACUCUGCGGAGGUCUCCACGCUGGCCCUCAGCCACAGUGCCCAGGUCCUGGCCUCUGCCUCAGGCUGCAGCAGCACGACCGCCCAUUGUCAGAUCCGCGUCUGGGAUGUGUCUGGCGGCCUCUGCCAGCAUCUUAUUUCCCACCAUAGCACCACCGUGCUGGCCCUGGCCUUCUCUCCAGAUGACAGGCUUCUUGUCACAUUGGGGGACCACGAUGGCCGCACCCUCGCCCUGUGGGGCACGACCACCUAUGACCUCGUUUCCUCCACCCGCCUCCCGGAGCCGGUGCAUGGCGUGGCCUUCAACCCCUGGGACGCCGGCGAGCUCACCUGUGUGGGCCAGGGCACUGUCACCUUCCGGCUCCUGCAGCAGCGUGGGGCAGACAUCAGCCUUCAGGUGCGUCGAGAGCCGGUCCCAGAGGCAGUGGGGGCUGGAGAGCUGACCUCGCUCUGUUAUGGGGCACCCCCCCUGCUCUAUUGUGGCACCAGCUCUGGCCAGGUCUGUGUCUGGGACACGCGUGCCGGCCGCUGCUUCCUGUCCUGGGAGGCAGAUGACGGUGGCAUUGGACUGUUGCUGUUCUCAGGCUCUCGAUUGGUCAGCGGCAGCAGCGUGGGACGGCUGCGCCUGUGGGCCGUGGGGGCUGUGUCGGAGCUGAGGUGCAAGGGCUCAGGCGCCAGUUCGGUGUUCAUGGAACACGAGCUGGUGCUGGACGGGGCUGUGGUGAGUGCUAGCUUCGAUGACAGCGUGGACAUGGGCGUUGUGGGCACCACGGCGGGCACGCUCUGGUUUGUCAGCUGGGCCGAGGGCACCAGCACGCGUCUCAUCAGUGGCCACAGGAGCAAGGUGAGGGACUUCCAGCCUGGACGGAGGCAGGGCAGCCAAACCUGGUGCCCUCCCUGCCUGCCGGCUCCAUCUCCACCAGCCCAGAUUAUUCCAAGUCCUGCUGUCACUGGCUCGCAGCGGCCGCCUUGGGGUUCCCAGCGGGGAGGUCUUGGGUGUGCACGUCCCUCAAAGCCGUCCCGGUUGUGUCUGCACCAGGGAGCCGCCUGGCAGGCCUUGCAGGUCUUCUCAAACCGUCCUUUCCCUGCUAUUGCUUUGCGUUUUUUGUUUGUUUUUUGUUUUUUGUAAUUGUCAAACAAACCACAUCAGUCCGGGCGUGGUGGUUCAUGCCUGUAAUCCCAGCACUCUGGGAGGCCGAGGCAGGUGGAUCACCUGAGGUCAGGAGUUCGAGACCAGCCUGGUCAACAUGGUGAAAUCCCAUCUCUACUAAAGAUACAAAAAUUAGCCGGGCCUCUUGAUGUAUACCUGUAAUCCCAGCUACUCUGGAGGCUGAGAGAAGAAAAUCACUUGAACCCAGGAGGCAGAGGUUGCAGUGAACCAAGAUCGCACCACUGCACUCCAGCCUGGGCGACAGAGCGAGACUCCAUCUC